RNAcentral lists this transfer RNA (77 nucleotides) under Chloroflexota bacterium. RNAcentral's name for it is "Chloroflexi bacterium (bioreactor metagenome) tRNA-Pro". It matches the Rfam family "tRNA". From Rfam's summary of the family: Transfer RNA (tRNA) molecules are approximately 80 nucleotides in length. RNAcentral also lists the same sequence under 2 other names. The record is from RNAcentral. Lineage: Bacteria; Bacillati; Chloroflexota.
CGGGGUGUGGCGUAGCCUGGUAACGCACGUGCUUUGGGAGCACGAGAUCGUGGGUUCGAAUCCCACCGCCCCGACCA